CCUACGGGUGGCAGCAGUAGGGAAUCUUGCUCAAUGGGGGAAACCCUGAAGCAGCAACGCCGCGUGCAGGAUGAAGGUUUUCGGGUUGUAAACUCCUUUUGUUAGAGAAGAUAAUGACGGUAUCUAACGAAUAAGCACCGGCUAACUCCGUGCCAGCAGCCGCGGUCAUACGGAGGGUGCGAGCAUUACUCGGAAUCACUGGGCGUAAAGAGCUGGUAGGCGGGAUAGCAAGUGAGAUUUGAAAUUCUAGGGCUUAACCAUAGGACUGUAUGCGAAACUGUUAUUCUAGAGUAUGGUAGAGGUAAGUGGAAUUUUUGGUGUAGGGGUAAAAUCCGUAGAGAUUAAGAGGAACACUCAUUGCGAAGGC
Molecule: ribosomal RNA, 367 nt
Filed under: uncultured bacterium
Lineage: Bacteria
Description: partial 16S ribosomal RNA
Rfam family: Bacterial small subunit ribosomal RNA
Source: RNAcentral